GGAGUGCGUCAAAACGAUUGAACGGGCGAGAUAGGGAACCUUCAGGCUAUUACAUUCAGUAUCAUUCAGUAUCAUUCAGUAUUAUAUGAUCAGAAAUACAUCAACUCCAGAAAUAACAUUCUAAUUGGAAAUUGUGGAAAUUUUUGCUCUUUGCGAUAAUCUGCACAAUGCUGGCUUUGUGCAUGUGUAAACAAGCUGGUAAUUACCUAUUGACAGUAUUUUUAACUUACAUUUUACUUUCAUAUGCAGCUCUAUGACAACCUGCCACAUGGCUUGUCAUCAGUGGCUAUGGACUUGUGAUGACUCUUGAGGCAGAAAUAUUUUCCUGCUUCCUGCAAGCUAUUAGUGCUAAUCUGAACAAAGCUUGCUUCACACAAACAAACUUUCUUUAACCAGUGAAGAGUAUUUUUGGCUAACACUUGGCCUUUACAUGGAGCUGAAUGGCAAAUGUAAAUGUAAACAAAACCAUUUUUGAACAGAUAACUAAGCAGCAUGAAAAAAAAACUUGUCCCUUAAUCAAAUUGGUGGCUAUAGACUUCCUUCAGAUGACCCUUGAAGCAGAAAUGUUUUCCUGCUUCUUGGAUAAAGGAAUGUUGGGUGCUUUGAUGUCCAGUGCCAACUAAGAGUCAUUGGGAAGAUCAAGAAAAAUUUUAAGGUGUUUGACAAAACCAUAUUCAUGGCAGUUAAGUAAUUCAUUUGGUAUGCUUGUAUAUUGGCAGGAAAUAGAUAUAAUUCUAUAGGUUGGAGGAUGGUACAUUUGUAUCUCGUUGCUUCAAGAACAUAUUCUUUAAUGCCGUGUUGAUACAAGGCAUUAAAGAAUAACUUAACUAUAAUAACUAUAACUUUUACAACUUUUUACAUAUUAAGGUUUCACAAUAUAUUUAUAAUUAUAAAUACAGGAUGGAUGAUCUGCAUCUGCUGAUAGGAGGAGGUUGAACAUCAGGAAGAUUCUACUGAUGUAAAACAAAAAAGUAAGGCGGUAGUUUUUGUGUAUUGUGCCUUACAAAAAACAGGAAAGAAGUUCAAGCCUAUAUUCACCAGGAACAUUUCUACCAGACAUGCGAGUUGCCUACAAGUUUAAUAAUUGAUCUUGUGUAUGGUGCAAUCAUGGAUUGGGAUUGAAAACGCCGUUCCUAAAGCUCGUGUCGAUGAGAGAUGAAAAUAAUGAAGUCCCUUAGAUUUUCGAGGGGGAUUCCUAACCUAACCUACAUCGGCGGGAAAUGGGGGUCAUGCCCCUACUGUGAUCAGAGUUAUUUGGACAUCACUGUGCUUGAAAUCGAACCCUUGACUUUGGAUGCACUGUGUCGAUACUCAACCAUUGAGACGUGAGUUUGACACUAAAUGACUUGUAUUUCUCCUUGUCAUCUAGAGGCACGUGAAUAGUGAGUGAAUGUGUAUAUAUAUAUCUAUGUGUUGAUUGGCAAAUGAAUCUAGUGGAUUGGGUUUCAAUUCCUAGGAGAAUGAAACCAGAAAUAAUUAUAUAUUAAUAAUUUAUAAUCGGUAUCUGGACCGGAUCUGGACUGGAAUCUCGAAAAUUAGAAAAAAGAGUAUUAGCAAAAUGAAAAAUUCAUUGGAUUUUGUUAAUUUUUGAUUUAUUUUCCUUUUGUAUUGGCUUUUCUUACCAAAGAUUCAUUCCAUGCAAUCAGACAUGCCGUGAGCGCGCUCAACUCGUAUUCCUUUUGAGGUGGGAAUCAAGAUAAUCAAGUCGAAAUCAAAUUAAUUUUUCAAAUAACCAUAUAAUUUGUAAACUAAACGUAAAAAUUAAAAAAUGAAGUUUGGCACUAA
RNAcentral lists this long non-coding RNA (1785 nucleotides) under Daphnia magna. RNAcentral describes it as "uncharacterized LOC116917519, transcript variant X3". Lineage: Eukaryota; Metazoa; Arthropoda; Branchiopoda; Diplostraca; Daphniidae. The record is from RNAcentral.